UACGGAGGGGGCUAGCGUUGUUCGGAAUUACUGGGCGUAAAGAGCGCGUAGGCUGUUUGGCAAGUUGGAAGUGAAAUCCCGGGGCUUAACCUCGGAACUGCUUUCAAAACUGCUAAGCUAGAGUAUGGUAGGGGAUGAUGGAAUUCCUAGUGUAGAGGUGAAAUUCUUAGAUAUUAGGAGGAACACCAGUGGCGAAGGCGGUCAUCUGGGCCAUUACUGACGCUGAGGCGCGAAAGCGUGGGGAGCAAACAGG
Molecule: ribosomal RNA, 253 nt
Filed under: uncultured bacterium
Lineage: Bacteria
Description: partial 16S ribosomal RNA
Rfam family: Bacterial small subunit ribosomal RNA
Source: RNAcentral